This 1181-nucleotide long non-coding RNA is filed under the name Salmo salar (Atlantic salmon). Its description in RNAcentral is "lncRNA (ENSSSAG00000091677.1)". Lineage: Eukaryota; Metazoa; Chordata; Actinopteri; Salmoniformes; Salmonidae. The record is from RNAcentral.
UGAAUAUAUACAGUAUAAUUUUCAGUAAAGAUAAAUCAGUAUGUCCUAACACAUGCAUUCAAAUGAAUACAUUAAGAAUACAUUCAAAGUAAAACAGCACCUUUUUUUGUUGCAGCAAGUAAAUUCUUAAAAUAAAUAAAAUGCACUUAAUCAGUAGCGGUGGUCAGUGCGGUCAUUAUACAUUGGGUUCACAGAACGUAAUGUAUGUACUGUAUGAUUCAAUACUUAUUCCAUAAGUCUACGGACCAAAAAUAUGGUUCAUUCUUUGAUUAUGUAGCGUUAAGUUAUACUAUCCAAACAAUACACUACAAUUUACAAUACAUAUACAUUCCCCAGAAAUCAAGUUCAUCAACACAGCAAGGAACAUUACAAUGUAGCCAAUGGCCAUACAUUUUGUCCCCAUAUCACUUAUGGAGAUUGAGAGCCACGGUCGCCCGUGGUGCAGUAGCUUGCUCAAGGGCACAACAGCAGGAGAUGGCAUCUAGGAUAGAAGAGCCAUAUAUGUAUGGCUCUGAUAGGAUACUGAUGCAGUUCCACACAACAACUAGCUCAGACAUUAAAGUUUAGGCAUUAACUCCACAUUUUUAAGGUUAGGGUUAAGUUUAGGCUUUAACUCAGAAAUCUUAAGGUUAGGCAUUAACUCUGAAUGGUUAAGGUAAGUGUUAAGGUUUGGUAUAGGCUUAAAAUAAAAAUCUCAAAAACGACUUUCUAUCACUGGAUUUGAACAUGUAACCUUUGGCACUAGCGGCAGGUAACCGAGCGGUUAAGAGCGUUGGUCCAGUAACUGAAAGGUCACUGGUUUGAAUCGCUGAGGCGACUAGGUGAAAAAUAUGUCGAUGUGCCCUAAUUUCUCCUGUAAGUCACUCUGGAUAAAAGAGUCUGCUAAAUGACUUAAAUGGAAACUAGUUGGUCGUGUAUGAGGGGAGUUUCCCCAAUACAAUGUAAACCACUUUGAGCAUCUGGAAAAGCACUACACAAAUCCAAUCAGUUACUUUCAUGAAUGAGUUUUUCUUCUUCCCCUUCUUCCAAUUCCGGUGUGUCUUCAACCUGCAGGUUGUUGUUGUCCCCGAUGAUGACAUACUGCAGUUGGGACCUGUAGAUCUGGACACUCCUCUGGAGCUCUGGAUCUGGACAGGCCUGUACUGCUCUCUGGUGAUCACUGGUGACGUUGCCUCCCAUUG